This 398-nucleotide ribosomal RNA is filed under the name uncultured bacterium. Its description in RNAcentral is "bacterial SSU rRNA". It matches the Rfam family "Bacterial small subunit ribosomal RNA", at positions 28 to 428 of the family's 1533-position model. The record is from RNAcentral.
GACGAACGCUGGCGGCGUGCUUAACACAUGCAAGUCGAGCGGUAAGGCCCUUUCGGGGGUACACGAGCGGCGAACGGGUGAGUAACACGUGGGUGACCUGCCUUUAGCUCUGGGAUAAGCCUGGGAAACCGGGUCUAAUACCGGAUAUGACUCCGCGGCGCAUGUUGUGGGGUGGAAAGCCUUGUGCGGCUGGAGAUGGGCCCGCGGCCUAUCAGCUUGUUGGUGGGGUGAUGGCCUACCAAGGCGACGACGGGUAGCCGGCCUGAGAGGGCGACCGGCCACACUGGGACUGAGACACGGCCCAGACUCCUACGGGAGGCAGCAGUGGGGAAUCUUGCGCAAUGGGCGAAAGCCUGACGCAGCGACGCCGCGUGAGGGAUGACGGCCUCGGUUCGUAA